GAUGAAGAACGUAGUAAAACGCGAAAGGUAGUGUGAAUUGCAGAAUCCGUGAAUCAUCGAAUCUUUGAACGCACAUUGCGCCCUCUGGUAUUCCAGAGGGCAUGCCUGUCUGAGCGUCAGUAAACUCUCAUCUCCUAUUUAUGGGAGAAGGUCAUGGACCCCAAUGAGUUGUGAUCUUUGAAAGAAAAUAAUUCUGGUCUGAAAAGGAUAGCCCGUUGAUAUUUCAACCGCGGUGUGAUAGGUUUAUCCACCUCACCAAGGCUCUUGAAAAGAAUCACGGCAAAAUUAUAUUUAUUUCUUUGACCUCAGAUCAGGUAGGAAUACCCGCUGAACUUAAGCAUAUCAAUAAGCGGAGGA
This 357-nucleotide unclassified non-coding RNA is filed under the name soil metagenome. Its description in RNAcentral is "partial contains 5.8S ribosomal RNA, internal transcribed spacer 2, and large subunit ribosomal RNA". The stretch from base 1 to 119 matches the Rfam family "5.8S ribosomal RNA", at positions 35 to 154 of the family's 154-position model. The record is from RNAcentral.